This 722-nucleotide long non-coding RNA is filed under the name Homo sapiens (human). RNAcentral describes it as "non-protein coding lnc-SORCS1-11:1". The record is from RNAcentral. Lineage: Eukaryota; Metazoa; Chordata; Mammalia; Primates; Hominidae.
CAGGGUAUUCCAAAAAGAAAUAAGAAAGAUAACUUACUUUAUCAUAGAGAAUGAGUUUUUAGACUGAAUAUAAUUUAAAAGAGGAUACUUGUAACACUGGAAAUAGUGAAUUUCCACUAUCUAGGAGAGAUAUAUAAAUGAAUAAUUUGGCGGGUUUUUCAAGUGUAUUUGUGGUGAUUAUAUUGCAUUUGGCUCUUGUAUCUUCAGUAAAAGAAGCCUUGAAGCACUUCACGUAAGCAUUUUAGUUAACUCUCUCCAUACCUGAUCUCCCUGGCACAAAUUAGGCAAUACUCAACAUUGAUUGCUAUGAAAUAAGGCUGAAGUCCAUUGCUCAAGUGCUGGGACGUGUGUGUGUGUGUGCAUACAUGUGUGCUCACAUGUGCACGUUUGUGUGUGUGUACAAUUUCUCCCAUUCAGAGGAUUGUUUGUUUACUCUUUAGCUAGUAUAUUUUGAUGCACAUUUAAAAAAGCAUUUCAUGAAGGCCAAUUUGUCUACUUUUUUUGUUGUCAUUAUUGCCUGUAUGUUUGGUGUCAUAUACAAUAAGGAUGCAGUGAUGUCCAUUUUCUCCCAUGCCUGAGGGCCAAGGCUAGCUCUGUUUUGGAAAGUGAAGGUAUAUUACUGGCCUAAAUCAAAAUACCCUCAGGCCCCAAUUUACAACAUUAGUGAAAUUAAUCCUUCAUGUUUAAUAAUAAGAGCAUGUACUUUGGAGUCAAGCAUGCUG